This 31-nucleotide non-coding RNA is filed under the name Rattus norvegicus (Norway rat). The record is from RNAcentral. Lineage: Eukaryota; Metazoa; Chordata; Mammalia; Rodentia; Muridae.
UUUGUGGCGAAAAACCUCUUGUUGGAGGCCU